AAAAGUUUGAUUCUUGCUUGAACUUUUAUUUUAUAGUUAAUGUACAUGCAUAUUUUGGUGGGUAGAGGACAAAAAAUUAAAGAUAAUUUAUGAAGUAAGAAAAUGUUUGGGUUAUUCGCAGUACGGAGGAUUAAAUAUUAAAUUAAGAUUUGAUUUAGUAAACUAUAAAAAGUUUGAUUAAAUUUUGUGCCAGCAAUCGCGGUUAGACUUUAAAGCUUAGUAAAAGUAUUUUAGUUAAGGUUACUCUUGUAUUUAGGAUUAAAUUGAAAUUUAUAAUAAUAAAAGGUGAAAUUGGCUUAUUGGAAAUAAAUGGAAAUUGAGUAAUAAAAAGAGAAGGCUUGGAAAUUAAGGUAUAGACCAGGAUUAGAUACCCUGUUAUACUUAAAGGGGAAAAAUAUGACUUGAAUAUUAGUAGUUAUGGUCUUUAAAUUCAAAGAAUUUGGCGGUAUUUUAGUCUUGUUAGAGGAACCUGUUCUGUAAAUGAUACAACACGAAAAAUCUUACUUACUCUUGUUUAACAAUUUGUAUACCGUCAUUAUUAGAUAACCUUUGUUGAGAAAGUUAUUGAAAUUUAGGAAGUUAGAGUAUAUUAGAUCAAGGUGCAGUUUAUGAGUAAGGAGAAAUGGGUUACAAUAAAAUUUAUUUACACGUAUUAGGAAUUGAAUAAUUUCUAUGAAGGAGAAUUUAAUUGUAACAUACAAUUCAAUAAGUUAAUGUGAUAUGAGAACUAAAAUAUGUACAUAUCGCCCGUCGCUUCCAUUUAAGAUGGAACAAGUCGUAACAUAGUAGGUGUACUGGAAAGUGUACCUAGAAUUAAA
Molecule: non-coding RNA, 818 nt
Filed under: Cherax sp. HG-2014b
Lineage: Eukaryota; Metazoa; Arthropoda; Malacostraca; Decapoda; Parastacidae
Source: RNAcentral